UUAAAAGAUAAGCUAAACUAAGCUAAUGGGCUCAUACCCCGUAAAUGAAAAUUUUUAUCUUUUCUCUUUUUAA
RNAcentral lists this transfer RNA (73 nucleotides) under Opecarcinus hypostegus. RNAcentral describes it as "tRNA-Met". The record is from RNAcentral. Lineage: Eukaryota; Metazoa; Arthropoda; Malacostraca; Decapoda; Cryptochiridae.